Long non-coding RNA from Gasterosteus aculeatus aculeatus (three-spined stickleback), 1460 nucleotides. The record is from Ensembl. NCBI's taxonomy places the organism in Eukaryota, Metazoa, Chordata, Actinopteri, Perciformes, Gasterosteidae.
UUCCAUUUAACCUGCCUUACCACAGCUGCAUCCCCACACAGCUGUUUUCAAUUUUGACAAUUUUUGGUCUCAGUCGGCGUCUCACUGUGCGAUGUGACUGACCAAAAAUAAUUGAUGACCAACAACAACCACAUUUCUCUCAUGGUUGUCAACUUUUUCUCCGGCGGAUUAAGAUUUCACGGUACACAUGGGGACUUUCACUUUAGAAGGGCACAGGAAGUUUUUUGGCUUUAGUGAGUGAUUUCCACACUGCUGCUCCUCCUCGCAGGGAUUGAGCACCGUGUGCAUGUGUGCACGAGAGAGACACGGAGACGACCCUGGACGGGCUCCUCCUGCACGUCUUCCCCCCUGCUGACCAUGUACGACCAACAUCAGGUCAUCCCUGAUUCAGGGUGCUUUGACAGAUUUCUGUGGGUCACUGAAUGGUACCAGAACAAGAAGACCUACACUGUGAUACAGACAGAAAGCUACUGCUCAUCUCCAGUGACCCAGAAACUCAAUGGCAGCAGGAAGCACUUCGGAGACAUGAUCAGCAGGCUGCAGAGGUCUCUGUAUCACUGUUUGCUGCACGAGUGAUAGAGCUGCAGUUGACUCAAGUUAAGAGACAGCGAGAGAGCCGGGAGAGGAAAGGGGCUUUCCGUUGCCCUAGUUUCCAUGGCCAAGUGUGUGUAUGUCUGUCAUUAUGUGUGAAUGGUUAGCUCUUUGAAGAGAACUACAGCCUGAACUGGCUCACUUUCCAAAGACAAGCGGGAGAGAAAAUGUGAUUGAGAGGAGAAUAAGAUACACAAAGAGAAAAAAAAAGACUGAAAAACCCCCAAAAAAAGACGUGUGUUCUCUCACAGGUGGGCUGAAUGCACAUCAUUCUUGUGGAGAUGCAGUCCGACCACAGACUCUCUCACGUUACUUGCAGCACUUAAGUUGCAGUACAAGUCAUCAAGCAUCAAAGAGCGUUCCCAUAACCAGACUAAUGCAGUUACAGUGACUGAUGCCGGUGGGGACGACAGACUGCUGGAGACAAAAGGGUUGGGUUUAAAUCGCUGUGGUGAAUAUUAGGGGUUUUCAAUUCCAUAGAGGUUCACUAAGACCGUAGACUUCAAUUAUCAAUGUAGAAAGAUUAUGUAUCUCCAGUUGUGAUCCGAGACAAGUCUUAUACUAUGAGGUAUGAUGUCCCUUCCGUCUUAUUUAAACAAGAUGCCCAUACCAAAGACAUUGAAUUAGAAUCCUGAUAAAUGGGAAUCUAGGCAGAAUAAAGAAGUCUUUAGAUUGGUUGUACGCUACUGAAGGCCUUUGCUCCAUGUACAGCAUUCUGAGGACAGCAGGUAUCUGUCUGCUCUCCGCCUGCUCAUUCACUUGUAUGGAUAUAAGAGUGCUGAAGGAUACUUAAGGAUACUUCAGGACCCACAACAGAAACAGAAACGUGUUUCUUUUAUUACAGCCCAACAAGCCAUUGUUGCACUAGA